This 253-nucleotide ribosomal RNA is filed under the name uncultured bacterium. RNAcentral's name for it is "partial 16S ribosomal RNA". It matches the Rfam family "Bacterial small subunit ribosomal RNA", at positions 524 to 776 of the family's 1533-position model. The record is from RNAcentral.
UACGAAGGGAGCUAGCGUUGUUCGGAAUCACUGGGCGUAAAGCGCACGUAGGCGGAUGUGUCAGUCAGGGGUGAAAUCCCGGAGCUCAACUUCGGAGCUGCCCUUGAUACAGCACAUCUGGAGUCCGGAAGAGGUGGGUGGAAUUCCUAGUGUAGAGGUGAAAUCCGUAGAUAUUCGGAAGAACACCAGUGGCGAAGGCGGCUCACUGGCCCGGUACUGACGCUGAGGUGCGAAAGCGUGGGGAGCAAACAGG